AUACGGAGGGUGCAAGCGUUACUCGGAAUCACUGGGCGUAAAGCGCGCGCAGGCGGUCUUUUAAGUUGGAUGUGAAAGCCUACAGCUCAACUGUAGAACUGCAUCCAAAACUAUUAGACUAGAGUCUGGGAGGGGAAGAUGGAAUUAGUUGUGUAGGGGUAAAAUCCGUAGAGAUAACUAGGAAUACCAAAAGCGAAGGCAAUCUUCUGGAACACUACUGACGCUGAGGCGCGAAGGCGUGGGGAGCAAACAGGAUUAGAAACCCUAGUAGUCC
This 274-nucleotide ribosomal RNA is filed under the name uncultured bacterium. RNAcentral's name for it is "partial 16S ribosomal RNA". It matches the Rfam family "Bacterial small subunit ribosomal RNA", at positions 523 to 796 of the family's 1533-position model. The record is from RNAcentral.